Mycena rosella is the source of this 95-nucleotide non-coding RNA. The record is from the annotation of a GenBank genome assembly. NCBI's taxonomy places the organism in Eukaryota, Fungi, Basidiomycota, Agaricomycetes, Agaricales, Mycenaceae.
GGCCUGAUAGCAUAACGGCUAGUGCUCCUGCUCUAUCUAACCACUGUGAAGCAUUUCUAAUGCGGGUUUUCUCGGUUCGACUCCGGGUCAGGCCA